RNAcentral lists this ribosomal RNA (253 nucleotides) under uncultured archaeon. RNAcentral describes it as "partial 16S ribosomal RNA". The stretch from base 27 to 253 matches the Rfam family "Bacterial small subunit ribosomal RNA", at positions 550 to 776 of the family's 1533-position model. The record is from RNAcentral.
AACCAGCACCUCAAGUGGUCAGGAUGAUUAUUGGGCCUAAAGCAUCCGUAGCCGGCUCUGUAAGUUUUCGGUUGAAUCUGUACGCUCAACGUACAGGCUGCCGGGAAUACUGCAGAGCUAGGGAGUGGGAGAGGUAGACGGUACUCGGUAGGAAGGGGUAAAAUCCUUUGAUCUAUUGAUGAACACCAAAUGCGAAGGCAGCUCACUGGGCCGCUAUUGACGCUGAGGAGCGAAAGCUAGGGGAGCAAACAGG